UACGUAGGGGGCUAGCGUUGUCCGGAAUCAUUGGGCGUAAAGCGCGCGUAGGCGGCUGGAAUAGUCCGGUGUGAAAUCCACAGGCUUAACCUGUGAAUGCCGCUGGAAACUGUCUGGCUAGAGUCCGGAAGGGGCGAGUGGAAUUCCUGGUGUAGCGGUGAAAUGCGCAGAUAUCAGGAGGAACACCAAUGGCGAAGGCAGCUCGCUGGGACGGUACUGACGCUGAGGCGCGAAAGCGUGGGGAGCGAACAGG
Molecule: ribosomal RNA, 253 nt
Filed under: uncultured bacterium
Lineage: Bacteria
Description: partial 16S ribosomal RNA
Rfam family: Bacterial small subunit ribosomal RNA
Source: RNAcentral